This 301-nucleotide ribosomal RNA is filed under the name uncultured bacterium. RNAcentral's name for it is "partial 16S ribosomal RNA". It matches the Rfam family "Bacterial small subunit ribosomal RNA", at positions 509 to 808 of the family's 1533-position model. The record is from RNAcentral.
CAGUAGCCACGGGAAUACAGAGGGUGCGAGCGUUAAUCGGAUUUACUGGGCGUAAAGCGUGCGUAGGCGGCUUCUUAAGUCGGAUGUGAAAUCCCUGAGCUUAACUUAGUAAUUGCAUUCGAUACUGGGAAGCUAGAGUAUGGGAGAGGAUGGUAGAAUUCCAGGUGUAGCGGUGAAAUGCGUAGAGAUCUGGAGGAAUACCGAUGGCGAAGGCAGCCAUCUGGCCUAAUACUGACGCUGAGGUACGAAAGCAUGGGGAGCAAACAGGAUUAGAUACCCCCGUAGUCCCUGUCUCUUUACA